RNAcentral lists this ribosomal RNA (492 nucleotides) under uncultured bacterium. RNAcentral's name for it is "partial 16S ribosomal RNA". It matches the Rfam family "Bacterial small subunit ribosomal RNA", at positions 29 to 507 of the family's 1533-position model. The record is from RNAcentral.
AGUGAACGCUGGCGGUAGGCCUAACACAUGCAAGUCGAACGGCAGCACAGUAAGAGCUUGCUCUUACGGGUGGCGAGUGGCGGACGGGUAAGGAAUACAUCGGAAUCUACUUUUUCGUGGGGGAUAACGUAGGGAAACUUACGCUAAUACCUCAUACGACCUACGGGUGAAAGCAGGGGAUCUUCGGACCUUGCGCGAUUGGAUGAGCCGAUGUCGGAUUAGCUAGUUGGCGGGGUAAAGGCCCACCAAGGCGACGAUCCGUAGCUGGUCUGAGAGGAUGAUAGGCAGCAUUGGAGCGGAACCACGGACAAGACGACUGCGGGAGGGAGCAGUGGGGAACAGGGGACAACGGGGGCAAGCCUGAUCCAGCCAUACCGCGUGGGUGAAGAAGGCCUUCGGGUUGUAAAGCCCUUUUGUGGGGAAAGAAAAGCAGCAGGUUAAGACCCCGCUGUUCUGACGGUACCCAAAGAAUAAGCACCGGCUAACUUCGUG